GGACCAUCAUGUCGGUCGUGCCUCGGUACGUACUGGUAUUGUUGGUUUCUCCCUUAUGACGAACCAUGAUGUCAUUAAUUCGGUGUCUUGGGGAAUCAGGACUGUUACUUUGAAAAAAUUAGAGUGUUUAAAGCAGGCUUAUUAGGCUUGAAUACAUUAGCAUGGAAUAAUGAAAUAGGACGAUUGAUCCUAUUUUUGUUGGUUUCUAGGGUUGGCGUA
RNAcentral lists this ribosomal RNA (219 nucleotides) under Campeiostachys nutans. RNAcentral describes it as "Elymus nutans partial small subunit ribosomal RNA". The stretch from base 46 to 219 matches the Rfam family "Eukaryotic small subunit ribosomal RNA", at positions 693 to 864 of the family's 1831-position model. The record is from RNAcentral. Lineage: Eukaryota; Viridiplantae; Streptophyta; Magnoliopsida; Poales; Poaceae.